RNAcentral lists this ribosomal RNA (428 nucleotides) under uncultured bacterium. RNAcentral's name for it is "bacterial SSU rRNA". It matches the Rfam family "Bacterial small subunit ribosomal RNA", at positions 354 to 796 of the family's 1533-position model. The record is from RNAcentral.
GUAGGGAAUAUUGCACAAUGGGGGAAACCCUGAUGCAGCGACGCCGCGUGAGUGAUGAAGGCCUUCGGGUCGUAAAGCUCUGUCGUAUGGGACUAACACAAUGAAGGUACCAUGCAAGAAAGGAUCGGCUAACUUCGUGCCAGCAGCCGCGGUAAGACGAGGGAUCCUAGCGUUGUUCGGAAUCAUUGGGCGUAAAGCGGGUGUAGGCGGAUUUAUAAGUCAGGUGUGAAAUCCCAGGGCUCAACCCUGGAAGUGCACUUGAUACUGUAAAUCUUGAGUGUGGUAGAGGUUACUGGAAUUGUUGGUGUAGUGGUGAAAUACGUAGAUAUCAACAGGAAUACCGGAGGCGAAGGCGAGUAACUGGGCCAACACUGACGCUGAGACCCGAAAGCGUGGGGAUCAAACAGGAUUAGAAACCCGAGUAGUCC